AUUGAACGCUGGCGGCAUGCCUUACACAUGCAAGUCGAACGGCAGCACGGGCUUCGGUCUGGUGGCGAGUGGCGAACGGGUGAGUAAUGUAUCGGAACGUACCAUUGAGUGGGGGAUAACGUAGCGAAAGUUACGCUAAUACCGCAUAUUCUCUCCGGAGGAAAGCAGGGGACCGCAAGGCCUUGCGCUCUUUGAGCGGCCGAUAUCAGAUUAGCUAGUUGGUGGGGUAAAAGCUCACCAAGGCGACGAUCUGUAGCGGGUCUGAGAGGAUGAUCCGCCACACUGGAACUGAGAAACGGUCCAGACUCCUACGGGAGGCAGCAGUGGGGAAUUUUGGACAAUGGGGGCAACCCUGAUCCAGCCACGCCGCGUGAGUGAAGAAGGCCUUCGGGUUGUAAAGCUCUUUCGGCCGGGAAAAAAUCGCAUGAGUUAAUACCUUGUGUGGAUGAUGGUACCGGAAUAAGAAGCACCGGCUAACUACGUGCCAGCAGCCGCCGUAA
Molecule: ribosomal RNA, 500 nt
Filed under: uncultured bacterium
Lineage: Bacteria
Description: partial 16S ribosomal RNA
Rfam family: Bacterial small subunit ribosomal RNA
Source: RNAcentral